This 497-nucleotide ribosomal RNA is filed under the name uncultured bacterium. Its description in RNAcentral is "partial 16S ribosomal RNA". It matches the Rfam family "Bacterial small subunit ribosomal RNA", at positions 28 to 507 of the family's 1533-position model. The record is from RNAcentral.
GAUGAACGCUGGCGGCGUGCCUAAUACAUGCAAGUCGAGCGAACGGACGAGAAGCUUGCUUCUCUGAUGUUAGCGGCGGACGGGUGAGUAACACGUGGAUAACCUACCUAUAAGACUGGGAUAACUUCGGGAAACCGGAGCUAAUACCGGAUAAUAUUUUGAACCGCAUGGUUCAAAAGUGAAAGACGGUCUUGCUGUCACUUAUAGAUGGAUCCGCGCUGCAUUAGCUAGUUGGUAAGGUAACGGCUUACCAAGGCAACGAUGCAUAGCCGACCUGAGAGGGUGAUCGGCCACACUGGAACGUAGACACGGUCCAGACUCCUACGGGAGGCAGCAGUAGGGAAUCUGCCGCAAUGGGCGAAAGCCUGACGGAGCAGCGCCGCGUGAGUGAUGAAGGUCUUCGGAUCGUAAAACUCUGUUAUUAGGGAAGAACAUAUGUGUAAGUAACUGUGCACAUCGUGACGGUACCUAAUCAGAAAGCCACGGCUAACUACGUG